Carassius auratus (goldfish) is the source of this 631-nucleotide long non-coding RNA. RefSeq lists it as uncharacterized. NCBI's taxonomy places the organism in Eukaryota, Metazoa, Chordata, Actinopteri, Cypriniformes, Cyprinidae. The record is from RefSeq and is a predicted model, not a curated record. The transcript is spliced from 3 exons.
UGGGGUGCGCCCAGCAGUGCAAGUUAAACCCUGUACUGGGCACAGUCAUUGAUAGAUUGUUAAAUGUAUUCUGAUUGCUUCCUCUGUAUUAAUACAGCCUGAUGAUGGGCUUCACGGGGAUGACAGCUUUCCUCUCCAUCUGGAUCAGUAACACGAGUACUACGGCCAUGAUAGUCCCCAUAGUGCAGGCUGUGCUGGAACAGCUGAACAAACAGGAGACCGAGUCGUCAGGGCCCGGGGUCUUGUGCAGCGCCCCUGGGUUCAGUGAAGCUGUUGAUGUGAGAGUGGGAAAAGCCAUGUGAGCAGGAGAUGUCGCUCGGACCAAGCUCUCUGCCAAACUCCCUGAUUUGUGCAGUGACUGUUGCAUUAGUUUUGCCAAUUCUCAUUGGUUCUUCAAAGGAUGUAAUUUCUUAUAUCUUCACAAAUGACAAAGACAUCAGAAUGAGGGUUGCCACGGUAAUGGUUUUAUUCGCUCCUUUCCAUCUUGAUGCCACAGCGGUAAAUCAUUAGCAGAGUUGUGUUAGAGCACUCGCAGCACUCAUUAGUGUUAAUAACAAAACUGACAACACCAACACAUCGAUCAGGAAAGUGGAGUUCAAAGCUUGAUUAUAUUGGAUGUUAUCAUCUGAAA